AGUGAACGCUGGCGGUAGGCCUAACACAUGCAAGUCGAACGGCAGCACAGUAAGAGCUUGCUCUUACGGGUGGCGAGUGGCGGACGGGUGAGGAAUACAUCGGAAUCUACUUUUUCGUGGGGGAUAACGUAGGGAAACUUACGCUAAUACCGCAUACGACCUACGGGUGAAAGCAGGGGAUCUUCGGACCUUGCGCGAUUGAAUGAGCCGAUGUCGGAUUAGCUAGUUGGCGGGGUAAAGGCCCACCAAGGCGACGAUCCGUAGCUGGUCUGAGAGGAUGAUCAGCCACAAUGGAAAUGAGGCACGGUCCCGAAUCCUAAGGGAGGCAGCAGUGGGGAAUAUUGGAACAUGGGCGCAAGCCUGAUCCAGCCAUACCGCGUGGGUGAAGAAGGCCUUCGGGUUGUAAAGCCCUUUUGUUGGGAAAGAAAAGCAGCAGGUUAAUACCCCGCUGUUCUGACGGUACCCAAAGAAUAAGCACCGGCUAACUUCGUG
RNAcentral lists this ribosomal RNA (492 nucleotides) under uncultured bacterium. Its description in RNAcentral is "partial 16S ribosomal RNA". It matches the Rfam family "Bacterial small subunit ribosomal RNA", at positions 29 to 507 of the family's 1533-position model. The record is from RNAcentral.